This 253-nucleotide ribosomal RNA is filed under the name uncultured bacterium. RNAcentral describes it as "partial 16S ribosomal RNA". It matches the Rfam family "Bacterial small subunit ribosomal RNA", at positions 524 to 776 of the family's 1533-position model. The record is from RNAcentral.
UACGAAGGGGGCUAGCGUUGUUCGGAAUUACUGGGCGUAAAGCGUACGUAGGCGGUGACUCAAGUCAGAGGUGAAAGCCUGGAGCUCAACUCCAGAACUGCCUUUGAAACUAGGUCGCUAGAAUCACGGAGAGGUGAGUGGAAUUCCGAGUGUAGAGGUGAAAUUCGUAGAUAUUCGGAAGAACACCAGUGGCGAAGGCGGCUCACUGGACGUGUAUUGACGCUGAGGUACGAAAGCGUGGGGAGCAAACAGG